Molecule: non-coding RNA, 675 nt
Filed under: Pongo abelii (Sumatran orangutan)
Lineage: Eukaryota; Metazoa; Chordata; Mammalia; Primates; Hominidae
Source: RNAcentral
AGUGUGAAGGGAAGGCUAAGGACGCAUCGGUGCUGGAGAGUUGAGAAUAUGCCUUCCCCUCCACCCCCAACCCAGUCACCUUAUUUGAAAAAAAAUUAAAAAACACCUUUUAUUUAAAAACCUAACCCUGGAAGUUUGCUCGCUGCCUGAAAAUCAUAUGCGUGGUUUUUCCUGUUUCCUGCUCUGUAGCUGACAUCAGGGGAGCAAAGUGAACACAGGAAAAUGGAAAUCAACAUUUGAAACUUUUAAAUGGAAGCUUUAUUGGGGUUCCACAUAUGGAAAACUGCAAAUAGCAGAAGUAUGUGACUCAAUACAUUAUUCUGGAGUGACCACAUCCUCUAACUACCUCCUAGGACAAGAAGGAGAAUGUGAACAAUGCUCCUGAAGGCCCCUUUCCCUCAAAGAAUCACUGCAAUUGAAGGAAAAAUGCUCCAUGUCCCCUAUGCCAGUUGGUGUUUAUCAAAGGACAACGGAGGAGGAGAGACAAAGUGCCUGGAUGUGUGUGUUAAUCAAGAGUUGUCAGGACCCUGCCUCUAAAAGAAAGCGCUAAAAUGAUGCUUUUGACAAGACUUUUCUCAAAAUGGAUGCAGUCUAAGGGUUGGAAAACAAGGCCCAAUCAGGCUAGGUCUGACUUGUCGCCUGCUUUUGUAAAUAAAGUUUUAUUGGCUCACAGAC